Pieris napi is the source of this 1186-nucleotide long non-coding RNA. RefSeq lists it as uncharacterized. Lineage: Eukaryota; Metazoa; Arthropoda; Insecta; Lepidoptera; Pieridae. The transcript is spliced from 5 exons. The record is from RefSeq and is a predicted model, not a curated record.
AAAGUAUGUAAAUAAAUAUUCAAGAAAAUAAAUUAUUGUAAAAAGUACAAAAACAUUAGUGAAAAUAUGAUGUAACUUCAAGUUUAAUGGCGAAGCGACAUGGCUGUGGUUCUAUUCGCCGCAAGACAUCAGAUUUCAUAAAAUUAAAGAAGAUCUUUAAUCAAUACAGAUCAUUGUUUUACAGUACUAUCACCUCUAAACCUUUUAUCUUAGUCACAUUAUCGCUCGUCCUAUUUUUCACCUUCCUGCUACCGGAUUUCUCUGAAAGAAUCGACAGAAGUGCGGAAUUAAAGGAAAUGAAGAAAGUUUUGGAUAAGAUCACGAAAGAUAUAAUACAAGCUGAAAGAACCUGUUAUACAGCAGCUGAAGACAUCUACGCUAUAUACAAUUUGAACAACUUUUAUCGUGGAAUUUAAACUUGCUUUGAUUCAAGGAAAAGAUUUAAUUUCUUUGAAAUUAAGCGCCAUCUACACAAUCUUUAAAGCAACUGCACAUAGAAGAACAACAAGACAUAUAUCUCCAGUUCUAACUUCAAAGUCAACCAUAGAUUUAGAGUUUGAUAAUACAACUAGAGGGCAGUUAUAUCAAACCUCACAAGAUAUUUACACAAAUAAUUAGAUCUAAAACAUAAUUUUAAAGGGAAGUAUGCCAGUCCGUAAGAACUUCAUUUUGGAAUUAGCCAUUUUUGUCUCUGUUAUACUCAUAACGUCGCAUAUUACCACUCAUCUUUGGGACAGACACUUUUUACGCCGUGAAAUUAAUAAUAUGAGAAAGAGCUUGCAUUCACUUAAGAAUACGAUGACCGAUAUCGGUACAGCGUACGACACUUUACACAAAGAUGUAAAACAAAUUGUGAAACACAAACCCUGCAAAAGCUGUUGCCAUAGUCCAAAUCACGCACUUGACAGAAGAAAACAACAUGACAUAAACGUCGUGUCUAUGAUAGAGAAGAAAAAAGCCUCUAUGGUCUGUAAAGAAGUGCAGACUCGACAAAAUACAGCCUUUAACAAGCACUGCCUAACUACUACUAAUGCCUCAACAAUAACUAGAUAUCCCCUUAGAUCAACCGGUGCAGGCAUUGAAACUAGACAAUAUUACGCAUAUAAGGACGAUUGCACUUGCAAAGACAUAAGACGAACAAUUAAAGUUUAAAAUAUUUAUUCGAUGUUUGUUUGCCGUUAAAUAA